AUUGAACGCUGGCGGCAGGCCUAACACAUGCAAGUCGAGCGGAUGAAGGGAGCUUGCUCCUGGAUUCAGCGGCGGACGGGUGAGUAAUGCCUAGGAAUCUGCCUGGUAGUGGGGGAUAACGUCCGGAAACGGGCGCUAAUACCGCAUACGUCCUGAGGGAGAAAGUGGGGGAUCUUCGGACCUCACGCUAUCAGAUGAACCUAGGUCGGAUUAGCUAGUUGGUGGGGUAAAGGCCUACCAAGGCGACGAUCCGUAACUGGUCUGAGAGGAUGAUCAGUCACACUGGAACUGAGACACGGUCCAGACUCCUACGGGAGGCAGCAGUGGGGAAUCUUGGACAAUGGGCGAAAGCCUGAUCCAGCCAUGCCGCGUGUGUGAAGAAGGUCUUCGGAUUGUAAAGCACUUUAAGUUGGGAGGAAGGGCAGUAAGUUAAUACCUUGCUGUUUUGACGUUACCAACAGAAUAAGCACCGGCUAACUUCGUG
This 484-nucleotide ribosomal RNA is filed under the name uncultured bacterium. Its description in RNAcentral is "partial 16S ribosomal RNA". It matches the Rfam family "Bacterial small subunit ribosomal RNA", at positions 30 to 507 of the family's 1533-position model. The record is from RNAcentral.